UCUGUUUGGGAUAUUAAAAGUUAAAAACUACUUUGAAGUUUCUAAAAAAAGCUAAUAUCUUUGAAGUUGCUGAGUUUCAUAAGAGAGCUGUCCUUGAAGAGAAAGUAUCCACCAUUAUCCCUAGAGAAGAGGAGCCUCCUUUUUAUGAAGAACCUGAAGGUUAUGGAGAAGUUCCAGCAGAAGAAAAGAUGCCUUUUAUUACUCCUAGUGAACCAGAAGCUCCAGCAGCUAAAGUAUCUGCAGUGACAAAGAAAACUGUCCCACUUAAGAAAAUACCUGCUGCUGUACCUACAGAAGAAGCUCCUCCAGCUAAAGUUCCUGAAGUACGAAAGAAAGCUGCCCACAAAGAAAAAAUACCUCCUCCUGUACCUAAAGAAGAACCUGCA
This is a long non-coding RNA of Melospiza melodia melodia, 386 nucleotides long. RefSeq lists it as uncharacterized. The transcript has 4 exons. NCBI's taxonomy places the organism in Eukaryota, Metazoa, Chordata, Aves, Passeriformes, Passerellidae. The record is from RefSeq and is a predicted model, not a curated record.